CGCGUAGGCGGAUUUGUAAGUCAGGUGUGAAAUUCUGGGGCUCAACCUCAGAGCUGCACUUGAAACUGCGAGUCUAGAGGGUUGGCGGAGAAAACGGAAUUCCACGUGUAGCGGUGAAAUGCGUAGAUAUGUGGAGGAACAUCGGUGGCGAAAGCGGUUUUCUAGCUAAUUCCUGACGCUGAGGCGCGAGAAGGCAAGGGAAGCAAACA
This 209-nucleotide ribosomal RNA is filed under the name uncultured bacterium. RNAcentral's name for it is "partial 16S ribosomal RNA". It matches the Rfam family "Bacterial small subunit ribosomal RNA", at positions 568 to 774 of the family's 1533-position model. The record is from RNAcentral.